Brassica rapa (field mustard) is the source of this 126-nucleotide non-coding RNA. RefSeq annotates it as microRNA MIR162. NCBI's taxonomy places the organism in Eukaryota, Viridiplantae, Streptophyta, Magnoliopsida, Brassicales, Brassicaceae. The record is from RefSeq and is marked provisional.
UGAAAGUUGAAGUCGCUGGAGGCAGCGGUUCAUCGAUCAAUUCCUGUGAAAAAUGAUGUUGGAAACAAUUUACAUGGGAAGCAUGAAUCGAUCGAUAAACCUCUGCAUCCAGUGCUUCUCCUUCCU